This 360-nucleotide ribosomal RNA is filed under the name Lendenfeldia chondrodes. RNAcentral's name for it is "Fasciospongia chondrodes partial 28S ribosomal RNA". It matches the Rfam family "Eukaryotic large subunit ribosomal RNA", at positions 1 to 353 of the family's 3401-position model. The record is from RNAcentral. Lineage: Eukaryota; Metazoa; Porifera; Demospongiae; Dictyoceratida; Thorectidae.
CUGGACCUCGGAUCAGGCCAGGCUACCCGCUGAAUUUAAGCAUAUCAAUAAGCGGAGGAAAAGAAACUAACAAGUAUUCCCUUAGUAACGGCGAGCGAAGCGGGAACAGCUCAAAUUUGAAAUCUCCGGUGCCUGCACCGGCGAAUUGUAGUCUAUAGGGCCAGUUUCGCCCGACGCAGCGUCCCCAAAGUCGUCCUGGAAAGGCGGGCCAGAGAGGGUGAGAGCCCCGUGUGCGGGGGCACUGCGGAGGGUAAGAUCUGUGCCCGAAGAGUCGGGUUGUUUGGGAUUGCAGCCCAAAAUGGGUGGUAAACUCCAUCUAAAGCUAAAUACUGGCACGAGACCGAUAGCGAACAAGUACCG